RNAcentral lists this ribosomal RNA (253 nucleotides) under uncultured bacterium. RNAcentral's name for it is "partial 16S ribosomal RNA". It matches the Rfam family "Bacterial small subunit ribosomal RNA", at positions 524 to 776 of the family's 1533-position model. The record is from RNAcentral.
UACGUAGGGCGCAAGCGUUGUCCGGAAUUAUUGGGCGUAAAGAGCUCGUAGGCGGCUUGUCACGUCGGGUGUGAAAGCCCGGGGCUUAACCCCGGGUCUGCAUUCGAUACGGGCUAGCUAGAGUGUGGUAGGGGAGAUCGGAAUUCCUGGUGUAGCGGUGAAAUGCGCAGAUAUCAGGGGGAACACCGGUGGCGAAGGCGGGUCUCUGGGCAGUAACUGACGCUGAGGAGCGAAAGCGUGGGGAGCGAACAGG